Molecule: long non-coding RNA, 198 nt
Organism: Pararge aegeria (speckled wood butterfly)
Lineage: Eukaryota; Metazoa; Arthropoda; Insecta; Lepidoptera; Nymphalidae
Exons: 2
Source: RefSeq, a predicted model, not a curated record
UUUGGGGCUUGUGUGAUCAUCAGACAAGCUCACAUGAAUUCGUUUCUAAAUCAGAAAAAAAGGUGAUAACACAUCAGCCAUUGCGACACGAGUUUGUAACCCCUGCUGCAAUUAAUGAAGUAAUCAUAACUAUAAAAUGAAACCAAGAAUUGUGAAAAAAUUUCAUGUAUUAUUGGAAUUACAAUCAAGCAAACUUUU